UACAGAGGUGGCAAGCGUUGUUCGGAAUUACUGGGCGUAAAGGGCGCGUAGGCGGCCUACUAAGUCAGACGUGAAAUCCCCCGGCUCAACCUGGGAACUGCGUCUGAUACUGGAAGGCUUGAGUAUGGGAGAGGGAUGUAGAAUUCCAGGUGUAGCGGUGAAAUGCGUAGAUAUCUGGAGGAACACCGGUGGCGAAGGCGGCACGCUGGGCCGUACCUGACACUAAAACGCGACAGCAUGGGGAGCGAACGGG
RNAcentral lists this ribosomal RNA (253 nucleotides) under uncultured bacterium. Its description in RNAcentral is "partial 16S ribosomal RNA". It matches the Rfam family "Bacterial small subunit ribosomal RNA", at positions 524 to 776 of the family's 1533-position model. The record is from RNAcentral.